This 111-nucleotide ribosomal RNA is filed under the name uncultured bacterium. RNAcentral describes it as "partial 16S ribosomal RNA". The record is from RNAcentral.
UGAGUAACCUGCCCUUAACUCUGGGAUAAGCCUGGGAAACUGGGUCUAAUACCGGAUAUGACUCCUCAUCGCAUGGUGGGGGGUGGAAAAGCUUUUUAUUGGUUUGGGUUU